Molecule: ribosomal RNA, 497 nt
Filed under: uncultured bacterium
Lineage: Bacteria
Description: partial 16S ribosomal RNA
Rfam family: Bacterial small subunit ribosomal RNA
Source: RNAcentral
GAUGAACGCUGGCGGCGUGCCUAAUACAUGCAAGUCGAGCGAACGGACGAGAAGCUUGCUUCUCUGAUGUUAGCGGCGGACGGGUGAGUAACACGUGGAUAACCUAUCUAUAAGACUGGGAUAACUUCGGGAAACCGUAGCUAAUACCGGAUAAUAUUUUGAACCGCAUGGUUCAAAAGUGAAAGACGGUCUUGCUGUCACUUAUAGAUGGAUCCGCGCUGCAUUAGCUAGUUGGUAAGGUAACGGCUUACCAAGGCAACGAUGCAUAGCCGACCUGAGAGGGUGAUCGGCCACACUGGAACUGAGACACGGUCCAGACUCCUACGGGAGGCAGCAGUAGGGAAUCUUCCGCAAUGGGCGAAAGCCUGACGGAGCAACGCCGCGUGAGUGAUGAAGGUCUUCGGAUCGUAAAACUCUGUUAUUAGGGAAGAACAUAUGUGUAAGUAACUGUGCACAUCUUGACGGUACCUAAUCAGAAAGCCACGGCUAACUGCGUG